AACGAACGCUGGCGGCAGGCUUAACACAUGCAAGUCGAACGCACCUUUCGGGGUGAGUGGCAGACGGGUGAGUAACGCGUGGGAAUCUACCCUUCUCUACGGGAUAGCUCCGGGAAACUGGAAUUAAUACCGUAUACGUCCUGAGGGAGAAAGAUUUAUCGGGGAAGGAUGAGCCCGGGUUGGAUUAGCUAGUUGGUGGGGUAAAGGCCUACCGAGGCGACGAUCGAUAACUGGUCUAAGAGGAUGAUCAGCAACAUUGGGACUGAGACACAGCCCAAACUCCUGCGGGAGGCAGCAGUGGGGAAUAUUGGACAAUGGGCGCAAGCCUGAUCCAGCCAUGCCGCGUGAGUGAUGAAGGCCCUAGGGCUGUAGAGCUCUUUCAGUGGGGACGAUAAUGACGGUACCCACAGAAGAAGCCCCGGCUAACUUCGUGCCAGCAGCCGCAGUAA
Molecule: ribosomal RNA, 449 nt
Filed under: uncultured bacterium
Lineage: Bacteria
Description: partial 16S ribosomal RNA
Rfam family: Bacterial small subunit ribosomal RNA
Source: RNAcentral